RNAcentral lists this ribosomal RNA (677 nucleotides) under Bacillus pumilus. Its description in RNAcentral is "bacterial SSU rRNA". It matches the Rfam family "Bacterial small subunit ribosomal RNA", at positions 92 to 755 of the family's 1533-position model. The record is from RNAcentral. Lineage: Bacteria; Bacillati; Bacillota; Bacilli; Caryophanales; Bacillaceae.
UUAGCGGCGGACGGGUGAGUAACACGUGGGUAACCUGCCUGUAAGACUGGGAUAACUCCGGGAAACCGGAGCUAAUACCGGAUAGUUCCUUGAACCGCAUGGUUCAAGGAUGAAAGACGGUUUCGGCUGUCACUUACAGAUGGACCCGCGGCGCAUUAGCUAGUUGGUGGGGUAAUGGCUCACCAAGGCGACGAUGCGUAGCCGACCUGAGAGGGUGAUCGGCCACACUGGGACUGAGACACGGCCCAGACUCCUACGGGAGGCAGCAGUAGGGAAUCUUCCGCAAUGGACGAAAGUCUGACGGAGCAACGCCGCGUGAGUGAUGAAGGUUUUCGGAUCGUAAAGCUCUGUUGUUAGGGAAGAACAAGUGCGAGAGUAACUGCUCGCACCUUGACGGUACCUAACCAGAAAGCCACGGCUAACUACGUGCCAGCAGCCGCGGUAAUACGUAGGUGGCAAGCGUUGUCCGGAAUUAUUGGGCGUAAAGGGCUCGCAGGCGGUUUCUUAAGUCUGAUGUGAAAGCCCCCGGCUCAACCGGGGAGGGUCAUUGGAAACUGGGAAACUUGAGUGCAGAAGAGGAGAGUGGAAUUCCACGUGUAGCGGUGAAAUGCGUAGAGAUGUGGAGGAACACCAGUGGCGAAGGCGACUCUCUGGUCUGUAACUGACGCUGAGGAGCG